This 473-nucleotide ribosomal RNA is filed under the name Selenomonas sp. oral taxon F20. RNAcentral's name for it is "bacterial SSU rRNA". It matches the Rfam family "Bacterial small subunit ribosomal RNA", at positions 28 to 474 of the family's 1533-position model. The record is from RNAcentral. Lineage: Bacteria; Bacillati; Bacillota; Negativicutes; Selenomonadales; Selenomonadaceae.
GACGAACGCUGGCGGCGUGCUUAACACAUGCAAGUCGAACGGAGCGAAUGAAAGCUUGCUUUUAUGAGCUUAGUGGCAAACGGGUGAGUAACACGUAGGCAACCUGCCAAUAGGAUGGGGACAACAUUCCGAAAGGAAUGCUAAUACCGAAUGAAGUCAGAGGAGGGCAUCCUCUUCUGAUGAAAGAUGGCCUCUGAAUAUGCUAUCACCUAUUGAUGGGCCUGCGUCUGAUUAGCUGGUAGGUGAGGUAACGGCUCACCUAGGCGACGAUCAGUAGCCGGUCUGAGAGGAUGAACGGCCACAUUGGGACUGAGACACGGCCCAGACUCCUACGGGAGGCAGCAGUGGGGAAUCUUCCGCAAUGGGCGCAAGCCUGACGGAGCAACGCCGCGUGAGUGAAGAAGGUCUUCGGAUCGUAAAGCUCUGUUGAUGGGGACGAACGUGCCUAAUGCGAAUAGUUUUAGGCAAUGACG